RNAcentral lists this ribosomal RNA (113 nucleotides) under Paenibacillus macerans. RNAcentral also lists the same sequence under 7 other names. The record is from RNAcentral. Lineage: Bacteria; Bacillati; Bacillota; Bacilli; Caryophanales; Paenibacillaceae.
UUGGUGGCGAUGGCGGAGGGGUUCCACGCGUACCCAUCCCGAACACGACCGUUAAGCCCUCCAGCGCCGAUGGUACUUGGACCGAAGGGUCCUGGGAGAGUAGGACGCCGCCA